This 335-nucleotide ribosomal RNA is filed under the name uncultured Streptococcus sp. Its description in RNAcentral is "bacterial SSU rRNA". It matches the Rfam family "Bacterial small subunit ribosomal RNA", at positions 1045 to 1382 of the family's 1533-position model. Lineage: Bacteria; Bacillati; Bacillota; Bacilli; Lactobacillales; Streptococcaceae. The record is from RNAcentral.
AUGGCUGUCGUCAGCUCGUGUCGUGAGAUGUUGGUUAGUCCGCAACGAGCGCAACCCCUACUUGUUAGUUUGUCCAUCAUUCAGUUGGGCACUCUAGCGAGACUGCCGGUAAUAAACCGGAGGAAGUGGGGAUGACGUCAAAUCAUCAUGCCCCUUAUGACCUGGGCUACACACGUGCUACAAUGGUUGGUACAACGAGUUGCGAGUCGGUGACGGCGAGCUAAUCUCUUAAAGCCAAUCUCAGUUCGGAUUGUAGGCUGCAACUCGCCUACAUGAAGUCGGAAUCGCUAGUAAUCGCGGAUCAGCACGCCGCGGUGAAUACGUUCCCGGGCCUU